This 2158-nucleotide ribosomal RNA is filed under the name human gut metagenome. RNAcentral's name for it is "bacterial LSU rRNA". It matches the Rfam family "Bacterial large subunit ribosomal RNA", at positions 1 to 2111 of the family's 2925-position model. The record is from RNAcentral.
GCAAGGUACAAUGGGCGCACGGCGGAUGCCUUGGCAUCGGAAGUCGACGAAGGGCGCGGCAAGCCGCGAUAGGCCCGGGGGAGGCGCAAACGGCCCUAGAUCCCGGGAUUCCCGAAUGGGGGAACCCAGCCGCCGUCAUGGGCGGCUACCGCGUGGGAGACCAUCCCAUGCGGGGACAACCGGGGGAACUGAAACAUCUAAGUACCCCGAGGAGGAGAAAUCAACCGAGAUCGCGCGAGUAGCGGCGAGCGAAAGCGCGCGAGCCCAAACCUGCGACGGCGCCAAGGCUGGGGCCGUUGCCUCGCAGGUGUUGCGGGACGAGAUGCCCCGGGCCCCCAGGCCCGGGCGCGAGUCAGAAAACCGGAUUCGAGCGGAACGGCAUGGGAAGGCCGGCCGCAGCGGGUGAGAGCCCCGUACGCGAAGGGUCCGGACUCGCGAUUCUCGAUCCAGAGUAGGGCCGGGCACGUGAAACCCGGUCCGAAGCAGGGGGGACCACCCUCCAAGGCUGAACACUCUCCGAUGACCGAUAGCGAACCAGUACCGCGAGGGAAAGGUGAAAAGCACCCCGAGAGGGGAGUGAAACAGCGCCUGAAACCGUGCGCCCCCAAGCAGCGGGAGCCGUUCUGACGACGGUGACCGCGUGCCUUUUGUAGAAUGAGCCUGCGAGUCGCGGCAUGCGGCGAGGUUAAGGGACACCGAGCCGCAGCGAAAGCGAGCCUGAACAGGGCGAUUUGAGUCGCAUGCCGCGGACGCGAAGCCGGGUGAGCUAUCCAUGGGCAGGGUGAAGCGGGGGUAAGACCCCGUGGAGGCCCGAACCCACUUCGGUUGAAAACGGAGGGGAUGACCCGUGGAUAGGGGUGAAAGGCCUAUCAAACCCGGAGAUAUCUCGUUCUCCCCGAAACAGCUUUAGGGCUGGCCCCGGGCAUUGACCAUCGGAGGUAGAGCACUGGACCGGCGAGGGGGCCUCACCGCCUACCGACCCAGACCAAACUCCGAAUGCCGAUGGUUUGGACCCCGGGAGUCAGAGCGCGUGGGCUAAGCUGCGCGCUCGAGAGGGAAACAGCCCAGACCGCCCGCCAAGGCCCCAAAGGCCGUGCUAAGUGGCAAAGGAUGUGCGCCCGCCCAGACAACCAGGAUGUUGGCUUAGAAGCAGCCAUGCAUUCAAAGAGUGCGUAACAGCUCACUGGUCGAGUGGGGGCGCGCCGACAAUGCGCGGGGCUCAAGCACGGCGCCGAAGCGGCGGAAUCAUUUAUUUGAUUGGUAGGGGAGCUUUCCAUGCCGGGCGAAGCCGGAGGCGCGAGCCCCGGUGGACGGCAUGGAAGUGAGGAUGCAGGCAUGAGUAGCGAGAGAGCGGCGAGAAACCGCUCCGCCGAAAACCCAAGGUUUCCUGGGCGAGGCUAAUCCCCCCAGGGUCAGCCGGGAGCUAAGGCGAGGCCGCGAGGCGCAGCCGAUGCACGACGGGCAGACAUUCCCGUGCCGGCGCGGGCGCGCUACGACCGAUGGGACGACGGGGAAGGAUACGCGAGCGGGGUUCUGGACGUCCCCGUGAAAGCGCGUAGGGAGGGGCCCAGGGAAAUCCGGUCCCCACACAUCCCGAGACGCGAGACGAGCCUUAUGGCGAAGUCGCGGAUUCCAUGCCUCCUAGAAAAAUCCCUAGGCAGCGCCCACGCCGCCCGUACCAAAACCGACACAGGUGGGUAGGAAGAGCAUUCCGAGGCGAUCGGGGCAACCAUGGUCAAGGAACUCGGCAUAAUCGUCCCGUAACUUAGGGAGAAGGGACGCCCCCCAGCGUGUACCGGCUCGCCCGGGAAGCGCCGGGGGGCCGCAGCGAAAGGGCCCAAGCGACUGUUUACCAAAAACACAGGACUCUGCCAAGCCGCGAGGCGAAGUAUAGGGUCUGACGCCUGCCCGGUGCCGGAAGGUCACGGGGAUCCGUUAGCCUUUGGCGAAGCGGUGAACCCAAGCCCCGGUAAACGGCGGCCGUAACUAUAACGGUCCUAAGGUAGCGAAAUUCCUUGUCGGGUAAGUUCCGACCUGCACGAACGGCGCAACGACUUGGGCGCUGUCUCGACCAUGGGCCCGGCGAAAUUGCAUUAUCCGUGAAGAUGCGGAUUCCCCGCGGAAGGACGGAAAGACCCCGUGAACCUUUACUGCAGCU